RNAcentral lists this non-coding RNA (29 nucleotides) under Homo sapiens (human). The record is from RNAcentral. Lineage: Eukaryota; Metazoa; Chordata; Mammalia; Primates; Hominidae.
UAAGAAAUUUGGAGAGGUCUCCUAGCUGC